This 73-nucleotide transfer RNA is filed under the name Felis catus (domestic cat). It matches the Rfam family "tRNA". Rfam says of the family: Transfer RNA (tRNA) molecules are approximately 80 nucleotides in length. Their secondary structure includes four short double-helical elements and three loops (D, anti-codon, and T loops). The record is from Rfam by way of RNAcentral. Lineage: Eukaryota; Metazoa; Chordata; Mammalia; Carnivora; Felidae. RNAcentral also lists the same sequence under 1 other name.
GCCUGGCUGGCUCAGUCGGUAGAGUGUGCGACUCCUAAUCUUGGGGUUGUGAGUUCAAGCCCCAUGCUGGGUG